GAUGAACGCUGACAGAAUGCUUAACACAUGCGAGUCAACUUGAAUUUGGGUUUUUAACUUAGGUUUGGGUGGCGGACGGGUGAGUAACGCGUAAAGAACUUGCCUCACAGCUAGGGACAACAUUUGGAAACGAAUGCUAAUACCUAAUAUUAUGAUAAUAGGGCAUCCUAUAAUUAUGAAAGCUAUAAGCGCUGUGAGAGAGCUUUGCGUCCCAUUAGCUAGUUGGAGAGGUAACGGCUCACCAAGGCGAUGAUGGGUAGCCGGCCUGAGAGGGUGAUCGGCUACAAGGGGACUGGGACACGGCCCUUACGCCUUCGGGAGGCAGCGGUGGGGAAUAUUGGACAAUGGACCGAGAGUCUGAUCCAGCAAUUCUGUGUGCACGAUGAAGUUUUUCGGAAUGUAAAGUGCUUUCAGUUGGGAAGAAACAAAUGACGGUACCAACAGAAGAAGUGACGGCUAAAUACGUG
This 467-nucleotide ribosomal RNA is filed under the name uncultured bacterium. Its description in RNAcentral is "partial 16S ribosomal RNA". It matches the Rfam family "Bacterial small subunit ribosomal RNA", at positions 28 to 507 of the family's 1533-position model. The record is from RNAcentral.